Molecule: long non-coding RNA, 539 nt
Organism: Ipomoea nil (Japanese morning glory)
Lineage: Eukaryota; Viridiplantae; Streptophyta; Magnoliopsida; Solanales; Convolvulaceae
Exons: 2
Source: RefSeq, a predicted model, not a curated record
GCCCGCACAGUGCCAAGUAGACAUGCCCGCCCCAGUUUACUCUAUUUUGCUCCCGUACUCGCCGCCGCGAAAGUCCUAUGGGCAACCAACCCGCCGACGGUUUUACUAGGGCGCGCGAGUACUCAAACACGGGGGCUUCCACGCAACAGGGGUUCACUCUCCUCGGGAAUUCAAUGCUAUUUUGAAGAAGUGAGACUGGAUCGAGUUGUUUGAGCCUCCUUCGGAGAUUGCUGACAUGUUGGAUACUGAGAAGAUCGAUGAGAUUGUCCUUUUGUAGAAGGGAUGAUUGAACGUUGUUGUUUGGGUAACCCCUCCCUCUCCCCAUAAAAUAUAUAUAUAUAUAUAUCCUUAGUUUCUAAAUAUUAUUGUGAUUAAACCUUAGUAAGGAUGGCCGGAUUUAAUUCUCGCCUCAUACAUUUAGAUUAGAUGUGUGUUUAUUUUAUUUGUGAAUUGAUAUGAUAUUUUAAUCUUGUUAUUUUAGAGUUUGUUAUAGUUAGUUGUAUUGGGUUGUUGUUGAUGUAAUAUAAGUUUUUAUAGUA